GCAACCGGGGGGGUCUAAGCCAUGCGAGUCAUUGUAGCAAUACAAGGCAGACGGCUCAGUAACGCGUAGUCAAUCUACCCUAUGGACGGGAAUAACCUCGGGAAACUGAGAAUAAUGCCCGAUAGAACAUUAUACCUGGAACGGUUUAUGUUUCAAAUGAUUUAUCGCCGUAGGAUGGGACUGCGGCCUAUCAGUUUGUUGGUGAGGUAAUGGCCCACCAAGACUAUUACAGGUACGGGCUCUGAGAGGAGUAGCCCGGAGAUGGGUACUGAGACACGGACCCAGGCCCUAUGGGGCGCAGCAGGCGAGAAAACUUUGCAAUGUGCGAAAGCACGACAAGGUUAAUCCGAGUGGUUUCUGCUAAAGAAACCUUUUGCUAGUCCUAGAAACACUAGUGAAUAAGGGGUGGGCAAGUUCUGGUGUCAGCCGCCGCGGUAAAACCAGCACCUCAAGUGGUCAGGAUGAUUAUUGGGCCUAAAGCAUCCGUAGCUCGUUUUGUAAGUUUUCGGUUAAAUCCAUACGCUCAACGUAUGGGCUGCCGGGAAUACUGCAUAACUAGGAAGUGGGAGAGGUAGACGGUACUCGGUAGGAAGGGGUAAAAUCCUUUGAUCUAUUGAUGACCACCUGUGGCGAAGGCGGUCUACCAGAACACGUUCGACGGUGAGGGAUGAAAGCUGGGGGAGCAAACCGGAUUAGAUACCCGGGUAGUCCCAGCUGUAAACUAUGCAAACUCAGUGAUGCAUUGGCUUGUGGCCAAUGCAGUGCUGCAGGGAAGCCGUUAAGUUUGCCGCCUGGGAAGUACGUACGCAAGUAUGAAACUUAAAGGAAUUGGCGGGGGAGCACCACAAGGGGUGAAGCCUGCGGUUCAAUUGGAGUCAACGCCGGG
This 886-nucleotide ribosomal RNA is filed under the name uncultured archaeon. Its description in RNAcentral is "bacterial SSU rRNA". It matches the Rfam family "Archaeal small subunit ribosomal RNA", at positions 29 to 922 of the family's 1478-position model. The record is from RNAcentral.